UACAGAGGUGGCAAGCGUUGUUCGGAAUUACUGGGCGUAAAGGGCGCGUAGGCGGCCUUCUAAGUCAGACGUGAAAUCCCCCGGCUUAACCUGGGAACUGCGUCUGAUACUGGGAGGCUAGAGUAUGGGAGAGGGAUGUAGAAUUCCAGGUGUAGCGGUGAAAUGCGUAGAUAUCUGGAGGAAUACCGGUGGCGAAGGCGGCAUCCUGGACCAUUACUGACGCUGAGGCGCGAAAGCGUGGGGAGCAAACAGG
Molecule: ribosomal RNA, 253 nt
Filed under: uncultured bacterium
Lineage: Bacteria
Description: partial 16S ribosomal RNA
Rfam family: Bacterial small subunit ribosomal RNA
Source: RNAcentral